CCUACGGGGAGCAGCAGUGAGGAAUAUUGGUCGAUGGGCGCGAGUCUGAACCAGCCAAGUCGCGUGAGGGAAGACGGUCCUAUGGAUUGUAAACCUCUUUUGUCGGGGAGCAAAAGACGCCACGCGUGGCGUUCCGAGAGUACCCGAAGAAAAAGCAUCGGCUAACUCCGUGCCAGCAGCCGCGGUAAUACGGAGGAUGCGAGCGUUAUCCGGAUUUAUUGGGUUUAAAGUGUGCGCAGGCGGAAGAUCAAGUCAGCGGUAAAAUUGAGAGGCUCAACCUCUUCGAGCCGUUGAAACUGGUUUUCUUGAGUGAGCGAGAAGUAUGCGGAAUGCGUGGUGUAGCGGUGAAAUGCAUAGAUAUCACGCAGAACUCCGAUUGCGAAGGCAGCAUACCGGCGCUCAACUGACGCUCAUGCACGAAAGUGUGGGUAUCGAACAGGAUUAGAUACCCGGGUAGUC
This 459-nucleotide ribosomal RNA is filed under the name uncultured bacterium. RNAcentral's name for it is "partial 16S ribosomal RNA". It matches the Rfam family "Bacterial small subunit ribosomal RNA", at positions 338 to 795 of the family's 1533-position model. The record is from RNAcentral.